GGGAGCCGGAUGAGCUGAGAGGUUCACGUCCGGUUCUGCGAGCAGCUGGGGGUGAGACUCCCCUGGCUGACUCUCC
Molecule: non-coding RNA, 76 nt
Filed under: anaerobic digester metagenome
Source: RNAcentral